Molecule: long non-coding RNA, 2636 nt
Organism: Melospiza melodia melodia
Lineage: Eukaryota; Metazoa; Chordata; Aves; Passeriformes; Passerellidae
Exons: 9
Source: RefSeq, a predicted model, not a curated record
CAGUUAGCCUCUGCGGCGCGGAGAGAGGGGCAGGACCUCCUUCCCCACGAAGGCGGCAGCAGGGCGCGGGCGGCACUCGCGGGAGUAGUUUGGGGAAGAGGUGAAGAAGGUGCUGGAAAUGCGCUGUGACUCUGCCCCGCUGGAGGGACGGGGAGGAGCCAGCGUGACGGGCCUGGAAUCAGCUGUGUCUGGCUGUUGGGAGAGUCUUUCAGAAAACACAGAAAACCUGAAUUCUGCUGGUGAACUACUGAACCUCUUCUAAGACUGGAUGCAUUAAGAAUAAUUAACAAGGAAGACAACAAAUUUGUGAGUGGAUAGAUGCAAGCAGACUGAGAAGAGUAGUAAGACAGCCAUCCCUCCACUGACCAAAUAAAGUGACAUUUAAAAGCAACUCUUCCCACAUCACUCCCACUGCAUUCAGCCAUUGCCCUGCCUGUUCAGGGGGACUUGCAAGAGACUAAAUUUGCUACUUCUGAUUUGUCCUUCCAUGGUGUAGGACAAGCAGGAGAAGAAAAAAAAUGUGGUGCUUUUGUUAAUCCUGUUUGCUUCUGCUGCUGCCUUGCAUCCCUCCAACUCUUUCUUCAGAAGCUAAGGUUAUGCAAGUAGCAAGUAAAACCAACUCUUCAGGUUGCUGAAACAACUGAUUAUUUCUGUCUUAUCCCAAAUAAAACAGCUGGAGUACACGGUCUGCCUAGAAGAAAAAUAGUCUUUUUCUUGCAUGAGAGAGAGGAGCUGAGGAAGCACAAGAGAAGCUCGAUAAUUUGCAUUAAUUAUUUGAUGGGAAGAAGAGGGAUAUUCUGAAGGCAUUCUGUAAAAUAACCAUGGUCAACAAGAAUUUUGACAGAUUACCACAGGCACUAAGGAUUGGACAUAAGCUUGCCUAUGAGGAGGGAAGCUGAAAUAACCACUACAAACACAACCUAAGCCAUGGAAGUAGAGCUGGACGUCCUGGCCCGAAUACCUCUGAAGAAUAAGCACAUCUGCCCAGCCGUGCCCUACUUUGCUGCUGCUCCUCCUCCUGCUCACAUGUAAGCCUGGAUGUCUCUUUGGAAGAUGCAGCUGAAAAUGGUUGGCUGUCCUAACUGAUGUGUUCUCCUCCAGCACUGACCUCAGCAUGUCUUUCAGCUUCUCUCUGCAUUCCUGAAAAACCGACUUCCCUUCUACUAUCAAAAUGGCUCUAUGUGGUUUGAGGUUACCAAGAUGAUGACUCCUCAUGGCCAGACAGCCAAAAAGGGAAUAAAAAUACACCUUUCAGGAAUGAGGAAACUGAGGAAGAGGAGCGAAACACCUUUGCAUGGCUCACAGAGAUUUGGUCACAGCAGAAGUUGUUGGAUUCAGGAGGCUACUCCACCCCCAUCUGCCACCCCCAUCACAAGUCCACACCUUCCCCUUUUGGUGUUAGUGCAAUACAAAUGCUUCCUUCUCUUAUGUGCUUGCCAAGACCUGGGGCAGAAGCCCAUCAUAUUCUCAGGUAUGCCAGUGGAUGUGGUCAUUCCACAAAGUAAUUCAUAAUAUGUACAAAAGCUUCUUCUAAGAGUGUUUGUAAGAUAUAUGGGGUUAGUAAAGGCCUAAUAAAGACUAAGCCACACUAAUAAAAUGCAAAGGUUGUCAUUUAGAAUGGAAAAUCCUAUGAUUUAAAGGCAGUGGCCAAAUAUUGGAUCAUUUUAUAUAUUGUUAAUGAAUCAGAACAAGCAAGGCACAGAACAUCUGGUGUAAAAGUUAAAGCUCUUAUCAAAGUCCACCAGACAGGGACUCCAGGAUUUCUGUGUUGGGUAAACCCCAACACCUGUGUGAGAAUCUCCUCCACUGUACUGGUGGCAUCACAUACAUUUUGCCUGUGCUGAUUUGGCACAGGGGUGACUUUUGUGGAAAAGGUCCUGUCACCUGUUACUGUCACCCUACUUUCAGAUCCAUUUGAUCAGGUGUUUGUAGUCUAGUGAGGUGCAAGAGGCUCUGCAAACAGGAUAUGUAAAACUUCACAAGCACAUCACAAGUGUUUCCUGCCUGGCACACACAAAACAUGGCUAUGACUUGGUGAGCUACACACCACCUCUUGUGAGGAAUCCAAGGAGCCUUUGUCGCCCUUGGGUAACAUGUAGGGGAGCGUACCACUUCUAGAGUGAACCCUUGAUGUUAAAACCCAAUGUCUUUUCCACCAGCUCCAUCAAUACCAAGGACACCCAAUAACCUGGCAACCAGUUCCCACUUUCUUUCCAAUAGGAUCUUAUUCACAGAAUCACUAGUUUGGAAGAGAAAUUCAAGAUCAUCGAGUCCAACCCGUCCCUGAACACUACAACUAAACCAUGGCAUCAAGUGCCAUAUCCAAUCUUUUUUUAAAUACAUCCAGGGAUGGUGACUCCACCACCUCCCCAGGCAGGCCAUUCCAGUACUUUAUCACUCUUUCUAUAAAGAACAUUUUCCUAAUAUCCAACCUGUAUUUCCCUUGGUGCAGCUUGAGACUGUGUCCUCUGGUUCUGUCAGUUGUUCCCUGGAGAAAGAGACCAACCCCCCCUGACUGCAGCCACCUUUCAGGGAGUUGUAGAGAGUGAUAAGGGCACCUCUGAGUCUCCUUUUCUCCAGGCUAAACACCCCCAGCUCCCUCAGCCGUUCCUCACAGGGUUUGUGUUCCCAGCCCC